Long non-coding RNA from Vicia villosa (hairy vetch), 309 nucleotides. RefSeq lists it as uncharacterized. The record is from RefSeq and is a predicted model, not a curated record. NCBI's taxonomy places the organism in Eukaryota, Viridiplantae, Streptophyta, Magnoliopsida, Fabales, Fabaceae. The transcript is spliced from 3 exons.
GCGGAAUGGCAAUUGAUUCGGAACCGGAAUCAGUUAGACAGCUCUUAGUCGAUAGAUUCAUGUCCACCGGCAAUUCAGAAAGUCUGCAUCUUUGGGCGUAUAAUACCCGACCAGUAGGAGCACACUGGUUGUUGCUUGCUAUCAACCCUAUAAGAGAAGUCGUGUAUUAUCUGAAUUCGGUAAAUGGUGACUGGACCAAUUAUCCGGCUAUGAAGGAAAUCGUUGAUUUAUCAAUACAAGUGUUCCGAAGUCAACGGGACGCACAGGUAUCCCGGACUAAAUCAAACAACAUUACUUGGAUCAAAGUGC